RNAcentral lists this long non-coding RNA (645 nucleotides) under Homo sapiens (human). Its description in RNAcentral is "long non-coding RNA NONHSAT170887.1". Lineage: Eukaryota; Metazoa; Chordata; Mammalia; Primates; Hominidae. The record is from RNAcentral.
GUACGAGCAACCCCUGCUGAAUCUGAUGAAGAAGUAGAGAUAGAGAGGGAUGUUGGUGAUGUUGGAUCCUAAUUUCAGUUCCUAUCUCACCACAGGACCUUGGGCUUCAAAAUUCUUGUGACCUAUGCAACUAAGUACUAUUUGGAAAAAUGUCACUUCAAGUCAGUACCUAUUUGUAACCAUAAGGAUUGUCUUCUUGCUUCCAGGAAUAGCACAGUGGUAUCGGCAUAUUAACUAACCAAUAUAGAGUUCAAGUAAAGUGGACUUGGGGCAACGCCAGGAAAGCCUGUGGUUAGUUUUUUCUUUCAUGUGACCCUCUGCCCAAAUGACGAGUCUGGGAGUGCUGGGAUCCAGGAAAGGUAACCACAGGGCAAGCGAGCACUUUCAGAUCUCUCACAGAAGCUUCCAUCAUCUGUUCGAGUUUGGAUGUUGACAGAGAAAGGUUGCACUGAAACGAGGCUGUCAGAGCAGGAGCAUCAGCCUUUGUCAGGCUGGCAACAAAUACCACUUCUGGAUCUGUGAUCAUGGCCUUUAAAGUCAUAUUUGGUCUAACAGAGUCAUCUGAAGAAACAAGCAACAGGAACCAGAAAAGUUUAAGGAAUGUAUUACAUACCUGGUUGAUAUCAUUGUUAUAAAGGAUAAUGG